RNAcentral lists this ribosomal RNA (514 nucleotides) under uncultured bacterium. RNAcentral's name for it is "bacterial SSU rRNA". It matches the Rfam family "Bacterial small subunit ribosomal RNA", at positions 19 to 518 of the family's 1533-position model. The record is from RNAcentral.
AUGGCUCAGAUUGAACGCUGGCGGCGUGCUUAACACAUGCAAGUCGCGCGUGAAAGGACUUCGGUCCGAGUAAAGCGGCGCACGGGUGAGUAACGCGUGGAUGAUCUACCCAUGAGUUAGGAAUAACGGCUGGAAACGGUCGCUAAUACCAAAUACGCUCCGAUUUCAACUUCGGGGGAAAGGUGGCCUCUGCUUGCAAGCUACUGCUCAUGGAUGAGUCCGCGUCCCAUUAGCUAGUUGGUGGGGUAACGGCCCACCAAGGCGACGAUGGGUAGCCGGUCUGAGAGGAUGACCGGCCACACUGGGACUGGAACACGGCCCAGACUCCUACGGGAGGCAGCAGUGGGGAAUAUUGCGCAAUGGGCGAAAGCCUGACGCAGCGACGCCGCGUGAGGGAUGAAGGUCCUCGGAUCGUAAACCUCUGUCAGGAGGGAAGAACCGCCACGGUGCUAAUCAGCCGUGGUCUGACGGUACCUCCAAAGGAAGCACCGGCUAACUCCGUGCCAGCCGCCGC